AUGAUGACUUUCCUAAAAUAGCAUUUUUUUAAAAAAACUAUUUUAAAAUAGAACCUAUUGAUAAAAAAUUUUAAAUGAAUUCUCAUCUAUAUACAAAAACUUUUGUUACCCUAAUUUCUCAAUCACAAUCCAAAAUCUAAAAUAUUUCUCUGUAAAAAUGAUGACUUUCCUAAAAUAGCAAUUCUUAAAAAAAUAUUUAAAAAUCAAACCUAUUGAUCAACUAUUCUAAAAGAAUUCCCAUCUAUCAACAAAAACUCUUGUUAUCCUAAUUUCUCAAUCACAAUCCCAAAUCUAUAAUAUUUCUCUAAAAAAUGAUGACUUUCCUAAAAUAUCAGUUUUUACAAAAUUUAUUUAA
RNAcentral lists this long non-coding RNA (355 nucleotides) under Brassica napus (rape). Its description in RNAcentral is "long non-coding RNA (BNAP_LNC000257)". The record is from RNAcentral. Lineage: Eukaryota; Viridiplantae; Streptophyta; Magnoliopsida; Brassicales; Brassicaceae.